Long non-coding RNA from Sardina pilchardus (European sardine), 822 nucleotides. RefSeq lists it as uncharacterized. The record is from RefSeq and is a predicted model, not a curated record. NCBI's taxonomy places the organism in Eukaryota, Metazoa, Chordata, Actinopteri, Clupeiformes, Clupeidae. The transcript is spliced from 3 exons.
CUAAACGUACAUGGCCCGAUUCUGUAAAGUGACUGUCGGCCCAUUACAUGUGGAAGAGCGGUGGAACAAAUAUUAACUGAAGAUUGAAACCAGAACGGCGCGAAACUGUCUCGUUUUGGACACUGUCUGUGGCAGCACGGACCAGAGACCUGCUUCUUUGGAUGAAGCUUAGUGGUGGCGUUGGAAGACAGGAGAUAUAUGCUUUGGGUUUGCGUCAUCCACUACGUCAGCAAAGAACAGGAUCGGGGAAUGACUACAUGGCCAACUGCAUCUCGUGGAAGUUGUUCUGAAGAUGCGAUGCGUGAAGGAAGGAAGUCCACAAGCAUGUGUGCUUCAGGUGUGUAAAUGUGUUGACAUACCUUGUGUGUUAUAUAAUGUGUUCAGUCAUCAUCAUAACUGUAUAAGGAUGUGUCAGACAAUAAAUUAAUUUUGUUUUCUUUUGAAAUUUCAUGCAUUUCGGCUGGCUGAAUGGGAAGAACUCUUUGACCAACCCCCAACUGAGAGAGCUGAGCGAAGUGGCUAUCAGUAAGUCUAUUUGUGGGGACAGACUUACUCUGACAGAUGACAUCUUACAAACUAUGCUGUAGAUCUCAUAAUGAUCUUGCAAUAUGUAUUCUUUUAUAACUAAAUGCAGUUUGGAGAUAUUCCCCAGCUGCUAGUGAUGAUGCAACAUGUGUAGGCAAUAACUAAGCAGCAACAGAAAGAUAAGGCACUUUGUGUGUGUGUGUGUGUGUGUGUGUGUGUGUGUGUGUGUGUGUGUGUGUGUGUGUGUUUGUGUGUGGUAGCUGGCUAGGUUAUGGUACAUGGUAACCCACAGCCCAC